ACAUACGACCAUAGGGUGUGGAGAACAGGGCUUCCCGUCCGCUCAGCCGUACUUAAUCCACACGCCGGUAAGUUAGUAGUUAGGUGGGUGACCACUAGCGAAUCCUUACUGUUGUAUGUU
RNAcentral lists this ribosomal RNA (120 nucleotides) under Penicillium arizonense. Lineage: Eukaryota; Fungi; Ascomycota; Eurotiomycetes; Eurotiales; Aspergillaceae. The record is from RNAcentral.